This 1973-nucleotide long non-coding RNA is filed under the name Felis catus (domestic cat). Its description in RNAcentral is "lncRNA (ENSFCAG00000041507.2)". The record is from RNAcentral. Lineage: Eukaryota; Metazoa; Chordata; Mammalia; Carnivora; Felidae.
CGCGGACAACCCUUCCCUGUCCCCUUCUCCCUCCACCACCGUCACAUGCCCGCGACGUACGUUGUGCGCGGAGAAACGCGACCAUACCUUUGCACGGGCACCGGUCCGCACGCAGUCAUUCCGGCCCUCCCCGCCUCCCGCUGGGCCUUAGGGCCGCGACCUCACCGAGGCCACCGGCUGUGCGGGAUUCAGCCGGUUGCCCCUGGCACUCCUCCCGGGGGGGGGGAGGGGGGGAGGCUUCCAGGAUUGAUUUGAGGGGAACUGGACUGUAGGGCCCCCAAAUCCUUCCCGUUGACAGUGUGAGGGCCUGGUGUCCUCUUUCUCCUGUUGGAUACGGGUCUGCUAGGCUGUGAGAACACGAGCCACUUACAUGAAAUGGUUUUCUCUGCUGCCGGCUGGGGCCUUAUGUGGUUAGCAGAACCAACCCGCCUGGUGAGGCCCAAGGCGCUCUGGGGAGAUGAAGUUCGGCUGCCUCUCCUUCCGGCAGCCUUAUGCAGGUUUUGUCUUAAACGGGGUCAAGACCCUGGAGACGCGUUGGCGUCCUCUGCUGAGCAGCCACCGGAACCGUACCAUCGCCAUCCACAUUGCUCACAGGGACUGGGAAGACACCGCAUGGAGGGAGCUGCUGGCGGAGAGGCUUGGAAUGACCCCUGCUCAGAUUCAGGCCUUGCUUCUGGAAGGGGAAAAGUAUGGCCGUGGCGUGAUCGCUGGGCUUGUUGACAUUGGGGAAACCGUGCAGUGCCCAGAGGACUUAGCUCCUGAUGAGGUUGUGGCGCUGGAGAAUCAAGCUGUACUGACCAGCCUGAAGCAGAAGUACCUCACCGUGCUUUCAAACCCCAGGUGGUUACUGGAGCCCAUACCCAGGAAAGGCGGAAAGGAUAUCUUCCAGGUAGACAUCCCAGAGCACCUGAUGCCCUUGGGGCAGGACGCCUGGCGAGUGCGGAAGGUUACCGAGAAACCGGCUAAAUCAUGACCCAUCGACUGACCGUCAUGCCGCAGACCUACAAGCCAGGUUCAGUCUGAAUCAGCCCUGCCACUGUGUGCUGUUCGUGGAGACAGGUCUCUCCACUCAGAUGCAGGGGACAGGGCAGCGGGACUUUCCUCCUGAGAUGCCUGUCUGGGCUCGCCGGCAGUCUCCAGGACUUCGACGUUCGGGAUAAAGGGGAAGCGGCCAGUAAAUGUCUUGGUGCCGCCACUACUUGAGUCCUUCUGACUUCCGGGUCGUACAGAGACAUAGGUCUGAAGACGACCGGUUCGUGUUUCCUCCUCUCGUUGUUUUGCUCAGAACUCAUAGGACGUUUGAACAGCAUCCAGGGGACCUUGUGGGAAGGCUGGGAGCGGGCGCUAAAGGGGUGUGCAGGGGUGGCCAGCCACGGGUGCCCCCGUUCACCAUGGCGACAGCAUCAGACUGAGACACAGCAUCCGUCUGUUCUUACAAAUGACUCUUGCUCUGUUGUCAAAGCGUCCCUUGGCCCAUGAAGUAUGCGUGUUCGACACAUCCCACAGCUAGCUACUUCAUGGCCAAAGGAAGGAUCCUAAAUACAGCACCGAUGGGAAAAUGAUUAAGUCGUGUUGUGUAUUCUGUGGGAAAUCUUUUGUUGUCGUUGUGUGCUUUCUUAGCAAAGUUUCUGGUGGUCCUUACCGAUGGGGAAGAUGGGCUGUCCCUCCCCCCAACCCCCAGGCAUUGACUAGAAUGGCCCGUCUCUUCUGAGCAACAAGAAAGUAGCCCCACGUCCCUUGGCAGAUGGGGUGGCCCUGCUUUUAGGUGGGCCUCUUUGGCAGGCCCCUGGCUCUUGGGCUAGAGGCGCUCAGAAGCGCUGAUCAGAAGUUUCUGCUGAUCAGAAACUUCCCGGCAUCACAGGGGCACCCGUGAGGAAAAGCCCUCCUGUUUCAAACACACGAAUGAUACGAGGUGACACCCCCAAGGUCAGGAGUGAGGCGGUUCUGUCUCCUGACCCGCGGGCGAGGCUCAG